GCUCCGGUGGUCUAAUGGUUAGAGCGACCGCCUCGAUUGCAGGAGGUCGUGGGUUCGAUCCCCGGUCGAGUCA
Molecule: non-coding RNA, 73 nt
Organism: Potamilus streckersoni
Lineage: Eukaryota; Metazoa; Mollusca; Bivalvia; Unionida; Unionidae
Source: the annotation of a GenBank genome assembly